Molecule: ribosomal RNA, 272 nt
Filed under: uncultured bacterium
Lineage: Bacteria
Description: partial 16S ribosomal RNA
Rfam family: Bacterial small subunit ribosomal RNA
Source: RNAcentral
UACAGAGGGGGCCAGCGUUAUUCGGAAUUACUGGGCGUAAAGCGCGUGUAGGCGGUUGUUCAAGUCAGGUGUGAAAGCCUUGAGCUCAACUCAAGAAAUGCACUUGAUACUGGAUGACUAGAGGACCGGAGAGGAUAGUGGAAUUCCCAGUGUAGUGGUGAAAUACGUAGAGAUUGGGAAGAACACCAGUGGCGAAGGCGGCUAUCUGGACGGUUUCUGACGCUAAGACGCGAAAGCGUGGGGAGCAAACAGGAUUAGAAUCCACCGUAGUA